ACUAUUUUCUAUCUUACUAUUUUACUAUUAUCUACUAAGUUCAUUGCAUUUAUUACGUAUAUACUCUUUACUACUAAGAAGUUUUAAGGUUUUAUUACAGUGUAUUUUAUAUGCCCGAUCUCUCUUUACUUUAGUUUAUUGUUCAUUAGGUUUAUUAUGUUAAUCAUAUAUUUGCUGGAAUAUAUAGACCAGUGUUUGGGAAGCAUAAAGCACUGGUCGCAUCAAUUUUAGUUUCCAUUGCAGUGUUUACUGCUAUUCUGGUGUUGUGUGGUUGUUGUUUUAUUCCCUGUCUGCAUUCUUUGUUGAAUCGUCUCAUCACUACAGCAAUUUCACCCAUGGAGGACAAAAUGGCACAGAUGUAUCCCCUAUUAGCCCACGAUGACAAUGAUGAAAACAGCGAUGAGGAGCCAGGUGUUUGAACCUGACAUUUAAUUGGUCCUUCGAGCCGGAUCCCAAUACACCAGAUGAUUCCUGUGGGUGAGGUGAACCGGGUAAAAGUCAGUGGCCACUGCAUUCAGAUCCUUUUCCAAGGGCCUAGUCCAUCUCGCCUCCGGGUUUCUGACUGUUGACGGGAAGUCCGAGGGAGGAUUGACAGCAGUGGCUGGAGAGCAGAGGUCCACUUCUCUCCGGGAACCCAG
This is a long non-coding RNA of Fundulus heteroclitus (mummichog), 638 nucleotides long. RefSeq lists it as uncharacterized. Lineage: Eukaryota; Metazoa; Chordata; Actinopteri; Cyprinodontiformes; Fundulidae. The transcript has 3 exons. The record is from RefSeq and is a predicted model, not a curated record.